Long non-coding RNA from Pteronotus mesoamericanus, 566 nucleotides. RefSeq lists it as uncharacterized. The transcript has 3 exons. The record is from RefSeq and is a predicted model, not a curated record. Lineage: Eukaryota; Metazoa; Chordata; Mammalia; Chiroptera; Mormoopidae.
CUUUCCUCUGAGCUGUCACGACAGCACCAACGGUGGCCAGGAGAGUUGAGAGUUAAGAGUGCUGACGCCAAGUUACAGAGCAUGAGACAGGAUCCAGGAUGAUGUGAAGACAGAGCCAAGCUGUCAAACCAAGGUUGGAAACAAGUGCUGAGACCCUCAAGGGAAUCUCAGGAGUUCUGGACCAUUGCGAACCAAGGAGCUGAGCCCUGGCCAUAAAGGGAGGCACUGUGGCUUUUGGGAACAGGCUAUAGCAGAGAGAGGAAGAGAAGGAGAGAAAAUUCAAUGUGAGAGAGAAAUGUUGACUUGGCUGCCCUUUCACACACACCCUGACCCGGUAUCUGGGUACGUGCCCUGACCAGAAUCAAACCUGCUGCCUUUCGGUCUGUGGUAUGACGCUCCAGCCAACUGGGCCACAAAGCCCUUUCUUCCAGAGGCAAAGCGCCAGGACUCCCACCCAGAGCGGUUUGGCACCAAAGCUCAAUCACCUGAUGCUGUCAGAGAAGGCCUCGACACCAAACUUGGAGACACAGUAGCCACCACCAAUGACAGCCACAAGACCACCACAG